CCGCCUAAUUUUUUUCUUGCGGUGUAAAAAUGUUUCAAAAGAUGUCGCUUAGUUUUUUUUGUAUAUGAUAUCAUUCAGUCUAUACGCUUUUGAAACUGACCCUGUUUAACCGAACACUUUUCUUUGUAAGAGUUAUCUCCCCAAACACUGUUUUUCUUGUUAUCAGAUCUCCUCCGCAACCGUAAAAGAAAGCGACAAAUUCAUUUUUCCAAAUUGCUCGUUAUAUCCUCAGGAUGUUACGUUUUAUUUUCACCGAAGCUUUAUGAAUACUCCAUAUGAGAGUUAUUUCCCCUUUUGUAAUGAAAUAAAUGAAAUAAAUUUGUUACUGGAAAACCAUUAGUGAUAGAGGCCUAGGGUCUUUUGAUUUGAGGUCCUUGGUCCAAAAAAAUGAAAAUGAGGUCAAGGUCAAAGGUCAAGGUCAUGUUCAAAAAUAUGAUUUUGGCUUGUUAUCUCUUAUUUUCAGAAAUCCUAUAAGAUAUCGACAAAAUAUUUUCACAAAAUGUGUGUUACGACAUGGCGUAACACGUAAAUUUUAGUUAAAAGGGUACGUAAACAUUUGAUGCGACUUUUCCCCCUUUUAUCUCUUAUAUUAGUUGUAUGGUAAUAUAACUCAUUAUCAUUAUAAAGUAAAGGCUUAGGGUCUUUUGAUUUAAGAUCCUUGGUCCAAAAAAAUGAAAAUUAGGUCAAGGUCAAAGGUCAAGGUCAAAUUCUAUAUUUUGAUUUUUGCUUAUUUUCACUCUUUUUCAUUAACCUUAUAAGAUUUCAACAAAUUAUUUUUACUAAAUUGUUAGUUGCGACAUGUCGUAACUUAUAAAUUUUGAUUGGAAGGG
This 830-nucleotide long non-coding RNA is filed under the name Mytilus galloprovincialis (Mediterranean mussel). Lineage: Eukaryota; Metazoa; Mollusca; Bivalvia; Mytilida; Mytilidae. The record is from RNAcentral.